Acanthoscelides obtectus is the source of this 73-nucleotide non-coding RNA. NCBI's taxonomy places the organism in Eukaryota, Metazoa, Arthropoda, Insecta, Coleoptera, Chrysomelidae. The record is from the annotation of a GenBank genome assembly.
GCCUCUGUAGCUCAGUGGCAGCGCGCUCGUCUUGUAAAUCAGUGGUCGUGAGUUCAAUCCUCACAUUCUGGUA